Molecule: ribosomal RNA, 881 nt
Filed under: uncultured Bacillus sp.
Lineage: Bacteria; Bacillati; Bacillota; Bacilli; Caryophanales; Bacillaceae
Description: partial 16S ribosomal RNA
Rfam family: Bacterial small subunit ribosomal RNA
Source: RNAcentral
UGCAGUCGAGCGGANAGAAGGGAGCUUGCUCCCGGAUGUUAGCGGCGGACGGGUGAGUAACACGUGGGUAACCUGCCUGUAAGACUGGGAUAACUCCGGGAAACCGGAGCUAAUACCGGAUAGUUCCUUGAACCGCAUGGUUCAAGGAUGAAAGACGGUUUCGGCUGUCACUUACAGAUGGACCCGCGGCGCAUUAGCUAGUUGGUGGGGUAAUGGCUCACCAAGGCGACGAUGCGUAGCCGACCUGAGAGGGUGAUCGGCCACACUGGGACUGAGACACGGCCCAGACUCCUACGGGAGGCAGCAGUAGGGAAUCUUCCGCAAUGGACGAAAGUCUGACGGAGCAACGCCGCGUGAGUGAUGAAGGUUUUCGGAUCGUAAAGCUCUGUUGUUAGGGAAGAACAAGUGCGAGAGUAACUGCUCGCACCUUGACGGUACCUAACCAGAAAGCCACGGCUAACUACGUGCCAGCAGCCGCGGUAAUACGUAGGUGGCAAGCGUUGUCCGGAAUUAUUGGGCGUAAAGGGCUCGCAGGCGGUUUCUUAAGUCUGAUGUGAAAGCCCCCGGCUCAACCGGGGAGGGUCAUUGGAAACUGGGAAACUUGAGUGCAGAAGANGAGAGUGGAAUUCCACGUGUAGCGGUGAAAUGCGUANAGAUGUGGAGGAACACCAGUGGCGAANNNGACUCUCUGGUCUGUAACUGACGCUGAGGAGCGAAAGCGUGGGGAGCGAACNGGAUUANAUACCCUGGNANUCCACNCCGUNNCGAUNNNNGCUNAGUGNNNGGGGNUUCCGCCCCUUANNGCUGCAGCUNNCGCAUUANCNCUCCNCNGGGGANUANGGUCGCANACUNAACUCANNNNNANGGGGCCNCANANCGNG